GCUCUCGACCCCCGCAUCUCAUCCCUCCUCUCGCUUAGUUCAGAUCGAAAUCGCAAAUGGCGAAGAUUAAGAUCGGGAUCAAUGGGUUCGGGAGGAUCGGGAGGCUCGUGGCCAGGGUGGCCCUGCAGAGCGACGACGUCGAGCUCGUCGCCGUCAACGACCCCUUCAUCACCACCGACUACAUGACAUACAUGUUCAAGUAU
This 203-nucleotide unclassified non-coding RNA is filed under the name Hevea brasiliensis (rubber tree). The record is from RNAcentral. Lineage: Eukaryota; Viridiplantae; Streptophyta; Magnoliopsida; Malpighiales; Euphorbiaceae.